Molecule: ribosomal RNA, 262 nt
Filed under: uncultured bacterium
Lineage: Bacteria
Description: partial 16S ribosomal RNA
Rfam family: Bacterial small subunit ribosomal RNA
Source: RNAcentral
GUCCACGCUGUAAACGUUGGGCGCUAGGUGUGGGGACCCUCUCCGGGUUUCUGCGCCGCAGCUAACGCAUUAAGCGCCCCGCCUGGGGAGUACGGCCGCAAGGCUAAAACUCAAAGGAAUUGACGGGGGCCCGCACAAGCGGCGGAGCAUGCGGAUUAAUUCGAUGCAACGCGAAGAACCUUACCUGGGUUUGACAUCGCCGGAAAACUCGUAGAGAUACGGGGUCCUUCGGGGCCGGUGACAGGUGGUGCAUGGCUGUCGU